GGGGUGUAGCUCAGUUGGGAGAGCGCUUGAAUGGCAUUCAAGAGGUCAUGGGUUCGAACCCCACCAUCUCC
RNAcentral lists this transfer RNA (71 nucleotides) under Candidatus Caccomorpha excrementavium. It matches the Rfam family "tRNA". From Rfam's summary of the family: Transfer RNA (tRNA) molecules are approximately 80 nucleotides in length. Lineage: Bacteria; Bacillati; Bacillota; Clostridia. The record is from RNAcentral.